This 167-nucleotide unclassified non-coding RNA is filed under the name uncultured Tremellales. RNAcentral's name for it is "sequence contains ITS2". Lineage: Eukaryota; Fungi; Basidiomycota; Tremellomycetes; Tremellales. The record is from RNAcentral. RNAcentral also lists the same sequence under 1 other name.
AGACUCAACUCUUGAGAGGUUUCUUGCGAGUUGGAUUUGGGCGUUGCCAUUUAUUUGGCUCGCCUUAAAAGUGUUAGUGGUUUAAGCACUUGAUCGGACGUGAUAAGUUUCGUCCGGUUGUGUGUUGUCGACCGCUCCUAAACCAACCGCCUUGCGGCGCUCUUUGA